CCUACCCCUAGAGGCAUUGCAGGUAUGGUUGGUGUGUCAGAUGGGCAUCAGUAGGUGACAGAGAAGAGAGGCUAUGUCUAUGCUUAGUGUUCUGAUCCAGGAACAUCUGAAUGAUUAGCAUCCUAAUAUU
Mastomys coucha (southern multimammate mouse) is the source of this 130-nucleotide small nucleolar RNA. RefSeq annotates it as small nucleolar RNA SNORA17. The record is from RefSeq and is a predicted model, not a curated record. NCBI's taxonomy places the organism in Eukaryota, Metazoa, Chordata, Mammalia, Rodentia, Muridae. The transcript has a single exon.